RNAcentral lists this ribosomal RNA (476 nucleotides) under uncultured bacterium. Its description in RNAcentral is "bacterial SSU rRNA". It matches the Rfam family "Bacterial small subunit ribosomal RNA", at positions 365 to 832 of the family's 1533-position model. The record is from RNAcentral.
UUCGCAAUGCCCGAAAGGGUGACGAAGCGACGCCGCGUGUGGGAAGAAGGCCCUAGGGUUGUAAACCACUGUCAGGAGUUAAGAAAUAUAGAGGUGUUAAUAGCGCUUCUAUUUGACGAAGGCUCCAGAGGAAGCCACGGCUAACUCUGUGCCAGCAGCCGCGGUAAUACAGAGGCGGCAAGCGUUGUUCGGAAUUAUUGGGCGUAAAGAGCACGUAGGCGGCCUUGCAAGUCAGUUGUGAAAGCCUUCCGCUUAACGGAAGAACGGCAUCUGAUACUACAGGGCUUGAGUACGGGGGGGAGAGUGGAACUUCUGGUGGAGCGGUGAAAUGCGUAGAUAUCAGAAGGAACGCCGGCGGCGAAAGCGACUCUCUGGUCCGAAACUGACGCUGAGUGUGCGAAAGCUAGGGGAGCAAACGGGAUUAGAUACCCCGGUAGUCCUAGCCGUAAACGAUGGGCACUAAGUAGAGGGGUUUU